This is a long non-coding RNA of Podarcis muralis (Common wall lizard), 1256 nucleotides long. RefSeq lists it as uncharacterized. The record is from RefSeq and is a predicted model, not a curated record. NCBI's taxonomy places the organism in Eukaryota, Metazoa, Chordata, Lepidosauria, Squamata, Lacertidae.
GCAUGAGAUCCCAGCCUAAAUAAUGAACUUUAAUGCAUACCUUCAUUUUUGAAAGGGUAAACAUUUAAUCAUUACAAACCUGCAGAAGGCAAUUAAUUCCCUAUGUUGCUCCUGCCAGUCUUUUGUGACAGAUCUACCUGCUUCCACACAAUUGCUGGAUCAAGCUCAGUUGUGGGACCUUUGUAACACACAGCAGGUGGGAUUCAACAUAGCACUAAGUGGAGAAUGCAUGCACAAAACAAGUUCCACUUGAGGAACAAGAUUUUCCUGACUUUCCUCCCUCCACGAACCUCCGAAAAUGUUCUGGGGGUUCCCGCCAGUAAGGAUCCUACCCAGUAAAAUUAGUUAAGUAUGGUCAAAGACCAGAAAGAAGAAACAGUUUUAGCCUGCAUGUUCUCCCAUGUGCCUUCUCCAACUAAGCAAAUAUUACUGAGAUUUGGAGGUGGCUCAAUCAAUAACAGUACAACAUGGAUAAAAUGAAGCCUGAUUGUAUAAUUCAGGCUUUCAGAUAAGCCUCACCCUCUCCUGGCUGUGUUAAUAAUUUGCUAAAGUACAAACAGAUAUUAGACAUUACACACUUUCUCUUUGCACAAUUAAGGAGGUCUUCCCAGCAGACAGGUUCUAAAAAGGCAACUACAUACAGCUUAAGGGCCUGGCAAUGAUGUCCACUUCAAUACAAACUGCUUCUCAAGACAUUCUAAAACAUCUGGAAACUCGGAUUCUGUCAGAUGACUGGGCUCUUGGGGGACUGGUAGUAAUAGCUUCAUUUGUCAUGGUUAUCAUUGCACUCCUGUUGUUUGCUGCCAUCUUUGGCUGCUGCUCAACUCCAAGGAAUAAAUCUGGCCCCAUAUAAAACAGCAAGAGCAGCCUUGUCUGUGGAAUCUGAAGAAUGCUGAAGUGGGACCAAGAAGGGGGAAGUAUUGUUGCUUCCUGACACCCCUGUUUCACAUGUACAAGUGAACAUACUACAGAGGAAAUUUGGCACUGUUCAAAGGUACACAACCAGCUUCCACACAAGGCCUGACACCAAAUGAAAUCAGCAUUAAAGAAGCAUGUGCCCGAGCAGGUCUGAUUCACAACUAACUACUUCUAGCAAAGGAAGUGACAAAAAAUUGUUUAAGAAAUAGCUGACAUGAAAGAAUUUGAAAAUUCAAAGACUGUUCAGUUUUCCUUGAAAUUGUACAUUUGUCUUUCUUUUUUUGCAACCAGUAUAAGUAUAGAUAACCUAAUCAAUAGUGAAACUAAAUGAGACUAAA